This 471-nucleotide ribosomal RNA is filed under the name uncultured soil bacterium. RNAcentral's name for it is "bacterial SSU rRNA". It matches the Rfam family "Bacterial small subunit ribosomal RNA", at positions 26 to 518 of the family's 1533-position model. The record is from RNAcentral.
AGGACGAACGCUGGCGGCGUGCUUAACACAUGCAAGUCGAGCGGUAAGGCCUUUCGGGGUACACGAGCGGCGAACGGGUGAGUAACACGUGGGUGAUCUGCCCUGCACUUCGGGAUAAGCCUGGGAAACUGGGUCUAAUACCGGAUAUGACCUCCUAUCGCAUGGUGGGUGGUGGAAAGAUUUAUCGGUGCAGGAUGGGCCCGCGGCCUAUCAGCUUGUUGGUGGGGUAAUGGCCUACCAAGGCGACGACGGGUAGCCGACCUGAGAGGGUGACCGGCCACACUGGGACUGAGACACGGCCCAGACUCCUACGGGAGGCAGCAGUGGGGAAUAUUGCACAAUGGGCAAAGCCUGAUGCAGCGACGCCGCGUGAGGAUGACGGCCUUCGGGUUGUAACCUCUUCUAGCAGGACGAAGCGCAAGAGACGGUACCUGCAGAAGAAGCACCGGCUAACUACGUGCCAGCAGCCGC